RNAcentral lists this long non-coding RNA (282 nucleotides) under Marmota monax (woodchuck). Lineage: Eukaryota; Metazoa; Chordata; Mammalia; Rodentia; Sciuridae. The record is from RNAcentral.
CAAUAGAGAACCCAGAUCCAGUCCUUCUCCCUGGAGGCUGAAAGUGAACUCUCAGAGUUUUUUUUUUUUUUUUCAAUUCUACUCAGGAGGGUGACUGGGAAGAUAGUGCGGCAACUCUGUAAUUCCUCUGCCUCCCCCUAAACCCAUCAAAUCCAAGGAGGCUGGGAGAGAUCCUUACCAUGGUAUUUUUGGGGGUGGCUCCACAGUCGUUCUCUACUCCAAGCUGGCAGAUUGAGAAACAGUAUUCGACCAGAGUGCUCACUGGAAACUGGCUGGAAGAGA